This 490-nucleotide ribosomal RNA is filed under the name uncultured bacterium. Its description in RNAcentral is "bacterial SSU rRNA". It matches the Rfam family "Bacterial small subunit ribosomal RNA", at positions 28 to 518 of the family's 1533-position model. The record is from RNAcentral.
GAUGAACGCUGGCGGCGUGCCUAACACAUGCAAGUCGAACGGAGUUUAUAUUAUGAAGUUUUCGGAUGGAAUGAUAUAAACUUAGUGGCGGACGGGUGAGUAACGCGUGGGUAACCUGCCUCAUACAGGGGGAUAACAGUUGGAAACGACUGCUAACACCGCAUAAGCAUACAGUAUCGCAUGAUACAGUGUGAAAAUAUUUAUAGGUAUGAGAUGGGCCCGCGUCUGAUUAGCUAGUUGGUGAGGUAAAGGCUCACCAAGGCGACGAUCAGUAGCCGGCUUGAGAGAGUGACCGGCCACAUUGGGACUGAGACACGGCCCAAACUCCUACGGGAGGCAGCAGUGGGGAAUAUUGCACAAUGGGGGAAACCCUGAUGCAGCGACGCCGCGUGAGUGAAGAAGUAUUUCGGUAUGUAAAAGCUCUAUCAGCAGGGAGAAAAUGACGGUACCUGACUAAGAAGCCCCGGCUAACUACGUGCCCAGCAGACCC